Molecule: unclassified non-coding RNA, 590 nt
Filed under: Athalia rosae (coleseed sawfly)
Lineage: Eukaryota; Metazoa; Arthropoda; Insecta; Hymenoptera; Athaliidae
Description: misc RNA ENSAEAG00005011654.1
Source: RNAcentral
AACAUCGUCGUCGACGUCGGAAUCUGACGAGGAGGAAAGUGGUGCAGAGUAUUUCUCGAGUGUUUUAUGUGUAAAGGAAUAACCGGAGAAGUUUUUAGCUGUACAAAAGAGGGAAACAGCCGGUUUGCUGUUUGGUGGUGCGCCGUUGCUGAAGCAGGCGAUCGGGGAAUUCUUUCAGAGAGGACGCGUUUUACGGUGCGUCUGCUGCUCUUCGUCGUCGUCGCUGCCGCUGCUGCCCCUGGUUUGUUGCGGCUGCUGCACGAGCUCCGGUAGUUCUGAUAUCAUCAACCGGUUUUUAAGUCCUCCGCAAUGCCACAAGUUUACAGAGAGAAACCGGCGCGUUGUCGGUAUCGCCCGAGGGCACCACGGGAUGCCCGUGGUGGGUAGAAACAACGGAAAAACAACGAGGGACCGGGAAACACUAGACUUUUCCCGGCGCGUCAUACCCGAGGAUGGAAAAAGGGACAGCGGGGAACGCGAAGAGUUUUCAAGUCGUUUGAUAUCGGGAAGAAUCACAACGAUUUCAACAGCAGAGAUUCAUUCGAAGAAAGUUUUUUAAUCGACACCCUGAAAAUAUCGGCAACAUCGCG